AGCAGCCGCGGUAAUUCCAGCUCCAAUAGCGUAUAUUAAAGUUGCUGCAGUUAAAAAGCUCGUAGUUGAAUUUCGGGAUCAAUAUGUUGGUCGUGCCUCGGUACGUACUAGCUUAUUGGUUUCUCCCUUCUGACGAACCAUGAUGUCAUUUAUUUGGUGUUAUGGGAAAUCAGGACUGUUACUUUGAAAAAAUUAGAGUGUUUAAAGCAGGCUCACGCUUGAAUACAUUAGCAUGGAAUAAUGAAAUAGGACGUUUGAUUCUAUUUUGUAGGUUUCUAGGAUCGACGUAAUGAUUAAUAGGGAUAGUUGGGGGCAUUAGUAUUCAAUUGUCAGAGGUGAAAUUCUUGGAUUUAUUGAAGACUAACUACUGCGAAAGCAUUUGCCAAGGAUGUUUUCAUUAAUCAAGAACGAAAGUUAGGGGAUCGAAGACGAUCAGAUACCGUCGUAGUCUUAACCAUAAACUAUGCCGACUAGGGAUCGGAUGAUGUUAAUUUUUUAAUGACUCAUUCGGCGCCUUACG
RNAcentral lists this unclassified non-coding RNA (520 nucleotides) under uncultured Glomus. Its description in RNAcentral is "SSU rRNA". It matches the Rfam family "Eukaryotic small subunit ribosomal RNA", at positions 569 to 1092 of the family's 1831-position model. Lineage: Eukaryota; Fungi; Glomeromycota; Glomeromycetes; Glomerales; Glomeraceae. The record is from RNAcentral.